GUGAAUCAUCGAAUUUUUGAACGCAAAUUGCGCUCUCGGGUGUUCCGGAGAGGAGGCCUGGUUGAGGUGCAGGUUAAGUAAAAAUCGGUGUGGUUGCUGCCUUUCGUGGUGACGCACGGGGGUUGGGUCGUGUUGCCUUCGGUUAAGUGACCUGAAAUUUUGCAUGAGUUUUUGCGAACGUAUUUAAAUGGUGUGACGGACGUUUGCGAGAUCGAAGACUUGGUGUUGUCAGCCGGAUGUUGCGCGCCUAUAAUUUUUCGUCA
Molecule: unclassified non-coding RNA, 263 nt
Filed under: Glomus sp.
Lineage: Eukaryota; Fungi; Glomeromycota; Glomeromycetes; Glomerales; Glomeraceae
Description: partial internal transcribed spacer 2
Rfam family: 5.8S ribosomal RNA (bases 1-71)
Source: RNAcentral